AUGACUUGUGAUAAAACUAUAUUAAUUUCACCAUAAUUACCAUAAAAAAUAAUCAAAAAGAAAUUAUGGUAUAAU
Molecule: non-coding RNA, 75 nt
Submitted as: unclassified sequences
Source: Rfam